GCCUAGCUGGCUCUGUUGUAGAGCGCGUGAUUCUUGAUCUUGGGGUUUUGAGUUUGAGCCCCACGUUGGGUG
This 72-nucleotide transfer RNA is filed under the name Ailuropoda melanoleuca (giant panda). It matches the Rfam family "tRNA". From Rfam's summary of the family: Transfer RNA (tRNA) molecules are approximately 80 nucleotides in length. Lineage: Eukaryota; Metazoa; Chordata; Mammalia; Carnivora; Ursidae. The record is from Rfam by way of RNAcentral.